RNAcentral lists this long non-coding RNA (2796 nucleotides) under Oncorhynchus mykiss (rainbow trout). Its description in RNAcentral is "lncRNA (ENSOMYG00000062601.1)". The record is from RNAcentral. Lineage: Eukaryota; Metazoa; Chordata; Actinopteri; Salmoniformes; Salmonidae.
AUGGGGGUGAUGCCAGGAUUUGGUUUGAAUUGGGUUGGGCCCUCAUCUCAACCCUGUAACAUCCCUGACUAUCCUCUAUGUUGUAGAGAGGAUCAACCCUGUAACAUCCCUGACUAUCCUCUAUGUUGUAGAGAGGAUCAACCCUGUAACAUCCCUGACUAUCCUCUAUGUUGUAGAGAGGAUCAACCCUGUAAAUCCCUGACUAUCCUCUAUGUUGUAGAGAGGAUCAACCCUGUAACAUCCCUGUCCAUCUUUAACCUACAGUCCUAUAGUAAAUACAGACUAUUCCUCCCCAUCUUUAACCUACAGUCCUAUAGUAAAUACAGACUAUUCCUGCCCAUCUCUAACCUACAGUCCUAUAGUAAAUACAGGCUAUUCCUGCCCAUCUCUAACCUACAGUCCUAUAGUAAAUACAGACUAUUCCUGCCCAUCUCUAACCUACAGUCCUAUAGUAAAUACAGGCUAUUCCUGCCCAUCUCUAACCUACAGUCCUAUAGUAAAUACAGGCUAUUCCUGCCCAUCUUUAACCUACAGUCCUAUAGUAAAUACAGACUAUUCCUGCCCAUCUCUAACCUACAGUCCUAUAGUAAAUACAGGCUAUUCCUGCCCAUCUCUAACCUACAGUCCUAUAGUAAAUACAGACUAUUCCUGUCCAUCUUUAACCUACAGUCCUAUAGUAAAUACAGGCUAUUCCUGUCCAUCUCUAACCUACAGUCCUAUAGUAAAUAUAUUAAUACAUACUUUAACCUACAGUCCUAUAGUAAAUACAGACUAUUCCUGCCCAUCUUUAACCUACAGUCCUAUAGUAAAUACAGACUAUUCCUGCCCAUCUUUAACCUACAGUCCUAUAGUAAAUACAGACUAUUCCUGUCCAUCUCUAACCUACAGUCCUAUAGUAAAUACAGGCUAUUCCUGUCCAUCUCUAACCUACAGUCCUAUAGUAAAUACAGGCUAUUCCUGCCCAUCUCUAACCUACAGUCCUAUAGUAAAUACAGGCUAUUCCUGUCCAUCUUUAACCUACAGUCCUAUAGUAAAUACAGGCUAUUCCUGCCCAUCUUUAACCUACAGUCCUAUAGUAAAUACAGACUAUUCCUGUCCAUCUUUAACCUACAGUCCUAUAGUAAAUACAGGCUAUUCCUGCCCAUCUCUAACCUACAGUCCUAUAGUAAAUACAGGCUAUUCCUGCCCAUCUCUAACCUACAGUCUUAUAGUAAAUACAGACUAUUCCUGCCCAUCUUUAACCUACAGUCCUAUAGUAAAUACAGGCUAUUCCUGCCCAUCUCUAACCUACAGUCCUAUAGUAAAUACAGACUAUUCCUGUCCAUCUUUAACCUACAGUCCUAUAGUAAAUACAGACUAUUCCUGCCCAUCUUUAACCUACAGUCCUAUAGUAAAUACAGGCUAUUCCUGCCCAUCUCUAACCUACAGUCCUAUAGUAAAUACAGACUAUUCCUGUCCAUCUUUAACCUACAGUCCUAUAGUAAAUACAGACUAUUCCUGCCCAUCUUUAACCUACAGUCCUAUAGUAAAUACAGACUAUUCCUCCCCAUCUUUAACCUACAGUCCUAUAGUAAAUACAGACUAUUCCUGCCCAUCUCUAACCUACAGUCCUAUAGUAAAUACAGGCUAUUCCUGCCCAUCUCUAACCUACAGUCCUAUAGUAAAUACAGACUAUUCCUGUCCAUCUUUAACCUACAGUCCUAUAGUAAAUACAGGCUAUUCCUGUCCAUCUCUAACCUACAGUCCUAUAGUAAAUAUAUUAAUACAUACUUUAACCUACAGUCCUAUAGUAAAUACAGACUAUUCCUGCCCAUCUUUAACCUACAGUCCUAUAGUAAAUACAGACUAUUCCUGCCCAUCUUUAACCUACAGUCCUAUAGUAAAUACAGACUAUUCCUGUCCAUCUCUAACCUACAGUCCUAUAGUAAAUACAGGCUAUUCCUGUCCAUCUCUAACCUACAGUCCUAUAGUAAAUACAGGCUAUUCCUGCCCAUCUUUAACCUACAGUCCUAUAGUAAAUACAGACUAUUCCUGUCCAUCUCUAACCUACAGUCCUAUAGUAAAUACAGGCUAUUCCUGUCCAUCUUUAACCUACAGUCCUAUAGUAAAUACAGGCUAUUCCUGCCCAUCUCUAACCUACAGUCCUAUAGUAAAUACAGGCUAUUCCUGUCCAUCUUUAACCUACAGUCCUAUAGUAAAUACAGGCUAUUCCUGCCCAUCUUUAACCUACAGUCCUAUAGUAAAUACAGACUAUUCCUGUCCAUCUUUAACCUACAGUCCUAUAGUAAAUACAGGCUAUUCCUGCCCAUCUCUAACCUACAGUCCUAUAGUAAAUACAGGCUAUUCCUGCCCAUCUCUAACCUACAGUCUUAUAGUAAAUACAGACUAUUCCUGCCCAUCUUUAACCUACAGUCCUAUAGUAAAUACAGGCUAUUCCUGCCCAUCUCUAACCUACAGUCCUAUAGUAAAUACAGACUAUUCCUGUCCAUCUUUAACCUACAGUCCUAUAGUAAAUACAGACUAUUCCUGCCCAUCUUUAACCUACAGUCCUAUAGUAAAUACAGACUAUUCCUGUCCAUCUUUAACCUACAGUCCUAUAGUAAAUACAGACUAUUCCUGCCCAUCUUUAACCUACAGUCCUAUAGUAAAUACAGACUAUUCCUGUCCAUCUUUAACAUGUGGCCCCUUGUCUUCUCCACAGGUUGUCAAGGCUCAAGACCAGAUAUCUGGAGAGAGUCAGAACCAACAGACAGACAGGGCAAUUCACAGCAGAGUUACCUGUCAAAACUGUCUUGA